Molecule: ribosomal RNA, 254 nt
Filed under: uncultured bacterium
Lineage: Bacteria
Description: partial 16S ribosomal RNA
Rfam family: Bacterial small subunit ribosomal RNA
Source: RNAcentral
UACGUAGGGGGCAAGCGUUGUCCGGAUUUAUUGGGCGUAAAGAGCUCGUAGGUGGUUCGGUAAGUCGGGUGUGAAAUCUCCAGGCUCAACCUGGAGGGGUCAUUCGAUACUGCCGUGACUAGAGUUCGGUAGGGGAGUGUGGAAUUCCUGGUGGAGCGGUGAAAUGCGCAGAUAUCAGGAGGAACACCCGUAGCGAAGGCGGCACUCUGGGCCGAUACUGACACUGAGGAGCGAAAGCGUGGGGAGCGAACAGG